CUAGCCAAACGUUAUAGGUCAAGAUCCAUGUAUUUCCUUGGACUAUAAUACUUAUGAGGUCAGUUAUUUUGUCAUGCUCCCAGCCACACAUGAAACACAGAGCAAUGAGAGACAUGAGAUAGAUAUUGUUUGCUCAUACACAUAUAUAUAUAGUGGCCUAGGGAAUUACACAAUUGGGAUUAAGCUUGAUUCGCCUUUUUCUGGUGCUAUUUCCAGUGAAACUAAAUGUUGCUUGCUCCAGUAUGUCGUCGCCACUAUCAUCCACUGCCCUCUAUGCCCAAGUGCACCGCUAUCACUCCUAGAAAUACACCAAUCUGCUCAGGACCUACAAGAUUUAUUAGGGAAAAAACUUAGUUUUCAUCAUAGAUACCUUUUGUUAGAAGGGAUAAUUAAGCGACGAACAGAUUUUCAUCGCGCGAGCAUCACAGAUUAUGAAACAUAACGAGAAAAUCACUUUUAGUGGUAUAAGUUAAACAUUACAGAUGGCCAUAUGUGUUAUUCAUCAAGAUCAUCGACUCCCCGUCUAAUAACUCGAGCCUAACUCUCAAAACCCUAUCUCUGUGGCAUCGAUAGGAAUUGGAAUUGAUCAGCGGUAUGAAAUGCUGGCGUAGAACACUGCAGCUGAAUGGUACAGGAAGAAAUUGUGCUUCCUGAUUUCGGACGAGCAGGCAAGCAAACGUACGUACGGGGUCAACACAGAGCCGGCUUUCUCUAGGAGAUCGAGCAAGAGUCCUCUUGCGUAUGAACUCUUAUCAUACCAGCAUUCAACAGGAUAUCUUUUACUCAUUACGUAUGUACAGUGCUGCUUUGGAGAUGACGUUAAGUUUGCACCGUAGUUAGCAAAAACAACAAUAAGAAAAUUUGCAUGUAGGACACAAUAAAGAGUAUGGCUUUGCCUGGACAUCGUCGUUACGUUCGAUUCGACUAUCUUAGAGAUAAAGCCACGCUUUUUUACAGUUUACUUUUUAGCGUCUUACUGACAAAUUAAUGAAGGGUAGAGCUCCUGCCGAUUUGCGUAAAAACAAAUUUCCCUUGAAAAAAUAGUAUCUCAAACGAGACCUAUAAAACAGCUUCUGCCACAUAGAGUCGAAUGAAUUCCUAUAUGCUACUAUAAGCCUACACAAACUUGCUCCUUUUCUGUCUCAAACUACUAGUGGACAAAUAGUGAAAAGGCGAGUACGAUGCUGCUGAGAUUUUCUAAGAAAGAAAUUUGAAGGGAAAAGGCUCUGAUGUGAUGCCGGAUGCCAUUGCAUUGCCUGAUUGCCGUGUGAUCACCGCCAUCAUCGUAGCUUUUCAUGCAUGCGAAUGAAUGCGUAUAGGAUCGAUGGCCGCAGCGAUAUGAUCGUGCGAGCCCAUCAUUUGGUGCAUGAGCAGAUUGUUCGGUCCACGAGAUGCCAUGAGGACCAGAGAGACCGGUCGAGAAGGAAGGCCGUACCUUUUCCCCCGGGAGAGUGAGAGGUCGCCAUCAUCGACCCAAGAGAGAUGCGGGGGAGACGAGCUUUACGCCGGAUGGGGAGUUCAGUCAUGGAGGCUAAAGGCUAAAGCACCGGCAGGAAUUGAAGCGAGCUAAGGAGUGGUCACGGCAAUGGAGAAAGAAAGGGGAAAAGAGCCAGGAGCGAGGCCGCGCGCGACGAAUCGAGCAUGAACGCCCCACCCCCAGGAGAAAGGCGAGACGACGAAUUGAUACCGAGGUGCGCGUCCUAGCUAGCUGCCCAGCCCUAGCCAAUGGCGAAUGAAGCUACGCCCGGGGCCAGCAGCGUUUUGAAU
This 1767-nucleotide long non-coding RNA is filed under the name Panicum hallii. Its description in RNAcentral is "long non-coding RNA (PHAL_LNC000462)". Lineage: Eukaryota; Viridiplantae; Streptophyta; Magnoliopsida; Poales; Poaceae. The record is from RNAcentral.